Erythranthe guttata (spotted monkey flower) is the source of this 482-nucleotide non-coding RNA. NCBI's taxonomy places the organism in Eukaryota, Viridiplantae, Streptophyta, Magnoliopsida, Lamiales, Phrymaceae. The record is from RefSeq and is a predicted model, not a curated record.
CCUCCAUCCCCAAAAGUCAAAACCCACGAAACCAUCACCCACCUUCCUUCCUAAAACCCAACCAUGUCUGCACAAAAAAAUCUCAAACAAUAAUUUAAAAAAAUUCCAAAAUUUUCCGACGACCACCACUCCUCCUCCUUUCAAGGGUGUUACGAAGAAUCAGAUUCUGGAGAGAGACCCAAAAUUUCGUAUCAAAUAUUGAAAUCAAACAAAACCAACAAAAAGAUUGGUUGCGAAUUUCUUAAAACCGGGCAGAAAUUAAAGGACUGUGAUGAAGGGGGAGGAUCGGUCGAGGAAAUGUGAAAACGGGGUGGUGGUGGAGACGAGGAGAGAGAGAGAGAGAGAGAGAGAGAGAGAGAGAGAGAGAGAGAGAGGAAGAAGAAGGGGCCAAAUUCCAUAUUCAACUUUUUGAUUUGGUUUUCUCCAUUAAUGAACAUUGGAGAAAAUUUGUUCAGAAAAAUAAAAGAAGGGCACAACACGAA